UGGGGAAUAUUGCACAAUGGGCGCAAGCCUGAUGCAGCCAUGCCGCGUGUAUGAAGAAGGCCUUCGGGUUGUAAAGUACUUUCAGUCGGGAGGAAGGUGGUAAGGUUAAUAACCUUAUCAAUUGACGUUACCGACAGAAGAAGCACCGGCUAACUCCGUGCCAGCAGCCGCGGUAAUACGGAGGGUGCAAGCGUUAAUCGGAAUUACUGGGCGUAAAGCGCACGCAGGCGGUUGAUUGAGUCAGAUGUGAAAUCCCCGGGCUUAACCCGGGAAUUGCAUCUGAUACUGGUCAGCUAGAGUCUUGUAGAGGGGGGUAGAAUUCCAUGUGUAGCGGUGAAAUGCGUAGAGAUGUGGAGGAAUACCGGUGGCGAAGGCGGCCCCCUGGUCUGUAACUGACGCUGAGGCUCGAAAGCGUGGGGAGCAAACAGG
RNAcentral lists this ribosomal RNA (429 nucleotides) under Chloroflexota bacterium. Its description in RNAcentral is "Chloroflexi bacterium partial 16S ribosomal RNA". It matches the Rfam family "Bacterial small subunit ribosomal RNA", at positions 355 to 776 of the family's 1533-position model. The record is from RNAcentral. Lineage: Bacteria; Bacillati; Chloroflexota.